CCUAAGUGCCUGCCUGGCAAGAUCAAGGUUGUGAAUUCCAUUCCUGGUACAAAAAAAAAAAAAAAAGAUGAAAUAAUUGAGUCUCAUCCCCUGACCCCUAAGGAUUUGGAGCUUCUGGAAGAUGAACAGUUCAUAUUUGAGCAAGAUCACAUAAGUAGGAGGGUUCCUGCAACUCGUUCUUAACAAUGUUCAACAUAAUGUUCAAAGGAUUUUCAACCGGUGUCUUGCUGGGAGAUGGUGUACACUCA
Molecule: long non-coding RNA, 248 nt
Organism: Octodon degus (degu)
Lineage: Eukaryota; Metazoa; Chordata; Mammalia; Rodentia; Octodontidae
Exons: 3
Source: RefSeq, a predicted model, not a curated record